Molecule: long non-coding RNA, 603 nt
Organism: Chenopodium quinoa (quinoa)
Lineage: Eukaryota; Viridiplantae; Streptophyta; Magnoliopsida; Caryophyllales; Amaranthaceae
Exons: 2
Source: RefSeq, a predicted model, not a curated record
GUUAAUUUCGAAAAUCCCACCCACCCAUACUUUAUCCCACUUUUCAAAUGUAAAAUUUAGGAAGUUACUUUAUAUUUUAGCAAACCUAACCCUACUCAUUUCUUAUUCUACCCGCCUCCUUUUUUAUUUUACCUGAUUCAUUCUCUUAUUCUUUCUCUCCUCACCAUAAUGGAAAACUCCAAUCAUCCAUGGCAGCAACAAUUUCUUCGCUCCCAAUACCUCCAAUUGCAACUCUAGAGUAUCAUUUUGUCAUCGGUAUCAUGGGAGAUAGGAAAAAUCAGGUUUCGUUCUCAAAUUAAAUUCAUCUCCAAUUAUUGAAAGUGUGAAGAAGACUUACUGAAGAAGAGAAAUCUAUGGUGAAUGCGGCGGCAAGCGAUGCAAUCAUGUUACAUCAUAUCGUAUAUCAUGUUACAUCAUAUCGUAUACUUGUGAAAUCAUUGUUAAUAAAUUGUAACUUUUUGAAUUGGUAGUAUCCUAGAUUUGUUUUGUCAUUGGCCUGGUGUUAUACUUGUACCCUUGUACAUAUAGGACACAAGGGUGUAUUUUUACAUAGAAAAUAUUGAUUUUUUAACUAAAUAUUAUAAAUACAAGUUUUUUUCAUCA